Molecule: long non-coding RNA, 913 nt
Organism: Hemicordylus capensis (graceful crag lizard)
Lineage: Eukaryota; Metazoa; Chordata; Lepidosauria; Squamata; Cordylidae
Exons: 2
Source: RefSeq, a predicted model, not a curated record
GUACUCCCAUGGAAACCAGUUACUUAAAGGAGAGCAAAAAACAGAGUACAUUGUUGCCAAACAAUCAACAAUAUAGAUAAAUAAUUGGGAAAUUGUUAUACAUCAUCACUGUCACAUUACCCGACAUUGCAGCAGCGAUUGGGAUCUUAUGCAGGAAGGUCUCAGCGGCACCUGGAAUUCAGCAAAGAGGAUCAUAAGUUACCUAAAAGGAACUUUACACCUUAAGCUUCGACUUCCAGCAACUUCUGAAUGCAACCUAACUGGAUAUGUGGAUGCAGAUUGGGCUGGAGACAGUUAUGAUAGAAAAUCUACCAGCGGUUAUGUGUUUUUGCUUGGAGGGGGACUAAUCAGUUGGGCCAGCAGGAAACAAGUUUCAGUAGCACUUUCUUCUACAGAAGCGGAAUACAUCACAGCUGCACAAGCUAGUCAAGAAGUAAUCUGAUUACAAUGCCUGUUGAUGGACUUCGGUCAAUGUCCAUGAGAACCCACACAAAUCUUGGAAGAUAAUCAAGGGUGUAUUGCACUUGCACAAACUGAGACAGUUAACCCUAGAACCAAGCAUAUAGAUGUGAAGUAUCACUUCCUGAAAGACUUAAAGGAACAAGGACUCAUAGACCUGGAGUAUUGUCUGAGAACAUGAUGGUGGACAUUCUUACUAAGCCUUUAGUCAGAGAGAGGCAUUGUAGGCUGUCAAAGAAUCCGUUGGCCGGAGGUAUAUCUUCAAGAAAACUUCCCAGAUUCCUGCUUUAGACAUUUCAGGAUUAGCCUGGAAGCAUGGCAGUUCUUCUAACAUGCAGGUACAAAGUGGUACAGAAAACCCCUGACCUUGUGUGAUAUGUUUUAUUGUGCAAUGUUGUUUAUUGUCAUCCUGUUGUUACUGUUAUGCUCACUGAUUAAAUUUUUAGUAUUCCUA